UGAAAAGUUGUUGCAUAAGAUAUAAUUUGAUUUUAUUUAUAUAAAUUUUUGGUUGUACUAAUUUUAUGACUAGUCACUCAUGGCUUGGUGGCUAAAACAUCUUAUGUUUGCCAUAAGGGCCUUAGUUCAAGUUCAAUCGUUGGGCUCUCGUAAUUAUUUGGUUUAGAUUAAUCUUUUUUGUAUCUCCUAUUUAAUUAAAAAAAACAUUGUUGCUUUAUUCUAUUUUUGUUUUUAUUUUAUUUUUAUUUUUUAAAUGCGUCAAAAAAGUAAAUUAUUUAUUUAUUCAUAUAUUUAUUUACUUUUUUUAAUUGACUUAUUUUUGGGUCUUUGUAUAUAAGUUAUUUUGUAGGAGGGUCCAUUCAACUCCUUUUGUAUUCCAAUCUUCGUACUUCGAUCAUUUGAACCUCAAACCUUCACACUCCAAUAUUCAAUUUUUUUUCUCUCUCAUUAAAAUGUGAAGAAAAAGAUUACCUUGAAUGGAAUAUCCAGUCGUAAUCUCGAAUAUUAGGCUCAAGUUGUAAGAGCUUGUAAGCCCUAUGUAUUCGUCUUCUCUUUAAAAUGCUCCAAUAUUCAAAUCUUUUUCUCAAUAAAAUCUGAAGAAAAAGAUUAUCCUGGAUGGAAUAUCCAGUCGUAAUCCCGAAUAUUAGACCCAAAUUGUAAGAGCUUGUAAGUCAUAUGUAUUCGGCUUCUCCUCUAAAACACUUGUAAAUAUUCACACAAAAAAUUCCAAUAAAAUUGAAAGAAAUAUAUUACCUGGGUGAAAGGUCCAGACGUAGUCCCGAGUAUUAGACCCAAGUUGUAAGAGCUUGCAAGUCAUAAAUAUUCAUCUUUCAAGCCCAAAAAUACAUCCAACCAAUCAAACACUUUUUCGCCGCCGCGCGAUUGAUUAGAAAAUCUUUUUCAUAAACGAAAGACAUCUUGUCUUAAGAUGAUGCAAAGAAAUGCUUCGGCCACAAUUGUUGAAUUGAGAUAAGUGACGUUUUUCCAAAUGUUGAUUUGUAAAUCCAUUCGAUGUGUGGUAUACGUCUGCUCCUCAUCUGUUUUGGGUAAAAUAUUGUUUUCGUCUAUUAAUGCAAUAUAGCUUUCGCUAAAAUCGACCAACAAACAAAUAUUUUUCUACCAGAAACUACGUAAGCCUUGAGUUCUCUAUUGAGAUACGUAGGAGCAGGAUUGUGAAAUCUUGUCAGGCCCAUUAAUAAAAAACUUAGGUUUAGUCCCCUUCGUUGCAAAAAAAUCCAAAAACAUCUUCUCUUUUCUUUUGAUCCUAUUAUUCUUUCCCUCAUAAUAUCUUGAGAAUCCUAACAUUUCAAGCUAACACUAAUGCGCACAAUUAACCUAAUGGUUCCCGUUGAGUACAACGGACGUGAGGGGUGCUAAUACCUUCCCCUUGCAUAAUCGACUCUCGAACCCUGAUUUGGUUGCGACGACCAUAAUCAUUGUCGUUCUUUCUUGGGUUUUAUCGAUAUUUCCCCUUUCCUUUUUAGGGAUAAUUAAAGUUCGAUGGCGAAUCUGUUCAGUCCAUAAUUGCGAGCGUGCAAUUGCGCCUCGCUUAGUCGUGUUUUCAUUUUUCGAGGUGCGACAGAUGGCGACUCUAUUCAGUCCAUAAUUGCGAGCGUGCAAUUGCGCCUCGCUUAGUCGUGUUUUCAUUUUUCGAGGUGCGACAGAUGGCGACUCUGGUGGGGACACAUUUGUCUCCCUAAGUGAGUCAAGCCUAGUUAGGUUGUUUAUGUGCCUUUGCUUGUUUACUUUUGUGGCUUUUCUUUAUUGUUUUUUCUAUGUUUAUUGUCUUAUUGAUAAAAUAUGAUGUAUUGGUUCGAUUAUGCUUUGGUACUUGGAAGUCAUAAAUACUCGGGUCUAAUACUCGGGACUACGUCUUUUAAGCCCCAAAAUACAUUCAACCAAUCAAACUCUUUUUCUUCGCCGUGCGAUUGAUCAGAAAAUCCUUUUCAUAAAUGAAAUACAUCUUAUCUUAAGAUGAUGCAAAGCAAUGCUUCGGCCAGAAUUGUUGAGUUGAGAUAAGUGACGUUUUUCCGAAUGUUGAUUUCUAAAUCCAUUCGAUGUGUGGUAUACGUCCGCUCCUCAUCUGUUUUGGUAAAACAAUGUUUUCGUCGAUUAAUACAAUAUUUCUUUCGCUAAAAUCGACCAACAAACAAAUAUUUUUCUACCCAAAACUACGUAAGCCUUGAGUUCUCUAUUGAGAUACGUAGAAGCAGGAUUGCGAAAGCUUGUCAGGCCCAUUAAUAAAAAACUUAGGUUUAGUCCCCUUCGUUGCAAAAAAAUGCAAAAACAUCUUCUCUUUUCUUUUGAUCCUAUUAUUGUUUCCCUCAUAAUAUCUUGAGAAUCCUAACAUUUCAAGCUAACACUAAUGCGCACAAUUAACCUAAUGGUUCCCGUUGAGUACAACGGACGUGAGGGGUGCUAAUACCUUCCCCUUGCGUAAUCGACUCCCGAACCCUG
Molecule: long non-coding RNA, 2457 nt
Filed under: Lathyrus oleraceus (garden pea)
Lineage: Eukaryota; Viridiplantae; Streptophyta; Magnoliopsida; Fabales; Fabaceae
Description: Pisum sativum (pea) long non-coding RNA (PSAT_LNC038299)
Source: RNAcentral